RNAcentral lists this small RNA (120 nucleotides) under Rhizobium sp. BK538. RNAcentral describes it as "ar14". It matches the Rfam family "Alphaproteobacterial ar14". From Rfam's summary of the family: Smr14C2 was renamed NfeR1 (Nodule Formation Efficiency RNA) highly expressed in salt stress and during the symbiotic interaction on legume roots. Lineage: Bacteria; Pseudomonadati; Pseudomonadota; Alphaproteobacteria; Hyphomicrobiales; Rhizobiaceae. The record is from RNAcentral. RNAcentral also lists the same sequence under 1 other name.
GAAAUUCGGAGCAGCGCACUCCUCCUCCCAGCGCCCUCCGAUGGACUGACAACACUCCUCCUCCCAGUUGUCAGUCGCCCUAAUGACGCCCACCGGAUCCUCCCCCGGUGGGCGUUUGGU